GUGGGGAAUAUUGGACAAUGGGGGGAACCCUGAUCCAGCCAUGCCGCGUGUGUGAAGAAGGCCUUUUGGUUGUAAAGCACUUUAAGCGAGGAGGAGGCUACCGAGAUUAAUACUCUUGGAUAGUGGACGUUACUCGCAGAAUAAGCACCGGCUAACUCUGUGCCAGCAGCCGCGGUAAUACAGAGGGUGCAAGCGUUAAUCGGAUUUACUGGGCGUAAAGCGCGCGUAGGUGGCCAAUUAAGUAAAAUGUGAAAUCCCCGAGCUUAACUUGGGAAUUGCAUUCGAUACUGGUUGGCUAGAGUAUGGGAGAGGAUAGUAGAAUUCCAGGUGUAGCGGUGAAAUGCGUAGAGAUCUGGAGGAAUACCGAUGGCGAAGGCAGCCAUCUGGCCUAAUACUGACACUGAGGUGCGAAAGCAUGGGGAGCAAACAGGAUUAGAAACCCCUGUAGUCC
Molecule: ribosomal RNA, 451 nt
Filed under: uncultured bacterium
Lineage: Bacteria
Description: partial 16S ribosomal RNA
Rfam family: Bacterial small subunit ribosomal RNA
Source: RNAcentral